GUGGGGAGCAAACAGGAUUAGAUACCCUGGUAGUCCACGCCGUAAACGAUGUCGACUUGGAGGUUGUUCCCUUGAGGAGUGGCUUCCGGAGCUAACGCGUUAAGUCGACCGCCUGGGGAGUACGGCCGCAAGGUUAAAACUCAAAUGAAUUGACGGGGGCCCGCACAAGCGGUGGAGCAUGUGGUUUAAUUCGAUGCAACGCGAAGAACCUUACCUACUCUUGACAUCCACGGAAUUUAGCAGAGAUGCUUUAGUGCCUUCGGGAACCGUGAGACAGGUGCUGCAUGGCUGUCGUCAGCUCGUGUUGUGAAAUGUUGGGUUAAGUCCCGCAACGAGCGCAACCCUUAUCCUUUGUUGCCAGCGAUUCGGUCGGGAACUCAAAGGAGACUGCCGGUGAUAAACCGGAGGAAGGUGGGGAUGACGUCAAGUCAUCAUGGCCCUUACGAGUAGGGCUACACACGUGCUACAAUGGCGCAUACAAAGAGAAGCGACCUCGCGAGAGCAAGCGGACCUCACAAAGUGCGUCGUAGUCCGGAUCGGAGUCUGCAACUCGACUCCGUGAAGUCGGAAUCGCUAGUAAUCGUGGAUCA
Molecule: ribosomal RNA, 590 nt
Filed under: Pantoea sp.
Lineage: Bacteria; Pseudomonadati; Pseudomonadota; Gammaproteobacteria; Enterobacterales; Erwiniaceae
Description: bacterial SSU rRNA
Rfam family: Bacterial small subunit ribosomal RNA
Source: RNAcentral